RNAcentral lists this long non-coding RNA (477 nucleotides) under Homo sapiens (human). Its description in RNAcentral is "non-protein coding lnc-LSM14B-2:2". The record is from RNAcentral. Lineage: Eukaryota; Metazoa; Chordata; Mammalia; Primates; Hominidae.
UAUUUAUUUAUUUUCUUUCUUUGCCGGCAGAAGUCCCCCUGAGGUUAAUGCACAGAUGGCACUAGAUACUUGAAAGUCGUCUGAAUAUUAAGAAUUUAAAUCUCUAGCCUCAGUGAUUUGAACAGAAAGCCAAUUAUGGGGCUGAAUUAGUUUUCAAAUUAAACUGCAAUUGAAGGCUUGUGAAAUUAAUCCUUUAAGGCGCAUGGCAGCGUUGGUACAUGAAUCCAGAGCCAAGCCCUUGCCAGCGCGGACGGCGCCCAUGAGAGGACCGAGGGGGAGGUGGCCCCAGCUUCCCGGGCAGACCCUUAUGAGACAAACCCGAUUAUCUCCACCCAUCAUUCCCUCCUGAAUCCACUGACAAACCAGCCCUGGUGAGUUCGCUGGGGCCUCCCAGGGCAAGGCCAAGUGCAGCAGUUGUCCUGUUGCCCUUGACCCCUGGCUGUGGUCCUCUCUGGGGCUGCACGGGGCCACUCUCCU